RNAcentral lists this ribosomal RNA (510 nucleotides) under uncultured Acidobacteriota bacterium. RNAcentral describes it as "bacterial SSU rRNA". It matches the Rfam family "Bacterial small subunit ribosomal RNA", at positions 355 to 857 of the family's 1533-position model. Lineage: Bacteria; Pseudomonadati; Acidobacteriota. The record is from RNAcentral.
UGGGGAAUUGUUCGCAAUGGGCGCAAGCCUGACGACGCAACGCCGCGUGGAGGAUGAAGGUCUUCGGAUUGUAAACUCCUGUUGCUCGGGACGAAAAGCUUCGACCUAACACGUCGAGGUCUGACGGUACCGAGUGAGGAAGCCCCGGCUAACUCUGUGCCAGCAGCCGCGGUAAUACAGAGGGGGCAAGCGUUGUUCGGAAUUACUGGGCGUAAAGGGCGCGUAGGCGGCCUGCUAAGUCGAACGUGAAAUCCCUGGGCUCAACCCAGGAACUGCGUCCGAUACUGGUUGGCUUGAAUCCGGGAGAGGGAUGUGGAAUUCCAGGUGUAGCGGUGAAAUGCGUAGAUAUCUGGAGGAACACCGGUGGCGAAGGCGACAUCCUGGACCGGUAUUGACGCUGAGGCGCGAAAGCCAGGGGAGCAAACGGGAUUAGAUACCCCGGUAGUCCUGGCCCUAAACGAUGAAUGCUUGGUGUGGCGGGUAUCGAUCCCUGCCGUGCCGAAGCUAACG